UCCUACGGGAGGCAGCAGUGGGGAAUAUUGGACAAUGGGCGAAAGCCUGAUCCAGCCAUGCCGCGUGUGUGAAGAAGGUCUUCGGAUUGUAAAGCACUUUAAGUUGGGAGGAAGGGCAGUAAGUUAAUACCUUGCUGUUUGACGUACCGACAGAAU
RNAcentral lists this ribosomal RNA (156 nucleotides) under Pseudomonas sp. NA272. Its description in RNAcentral is "partial 16S ribosomal RNA". It matches the Rfam family "Bacterial small subunit ribosomal RNA", at positions 337 to 487 of the family's 1533-position model. Lineage: Bacteria; Pseudomonadati; Pseudomonadota; Gammaproteobacteria; Pseudomonadales; Pseudomonadaceae. The record is from RNAcentral. RNAcentral also lists the same sequence under 3 other names.